Molecule: ribosomal RNA, 253 nt
Filed under: uncultured bacterium
Lineage: Bacteria
Description: partial 16S ribosomal RNA
Rfam family: Bacterial small subunit ribosomal RNA
Source: RNAcentral
UACGUAGGGUGCGAGCGUUAAUCGGAAUUACUGGGCGUAAAGCGUGCGCAGGCGGUUCGUCGUGUCUGAUGUGAAAGCCCCGGGCUCAACCUGGGAAUGGCAUUGGAAACUGGCGGACUAGAGUGUGGCAGAGGGGGGUGGAAUUCCGCGUGUAGCAGUGAAAUGCGUAGAGAUGCGGAGGAACACCGAUGGCGAAGGCAAUCCCCUGGACCUGUACUGACGCUCAUGCACGAAAGCGUGGGGAGCAAACAGG